Molecule: ribosomal RNA, 433 nt
Filed under: uncultured bacterium
Lineage: Bacteria
Description: partial 16S ribosomal RNA
Rfam family: Bacterial small subunit ribosomal RNA
Source: RNAcentral
AACGAACGCUGGCGGCAUGCCUAACACAUGCAAGUCGAACGAGACCUUCGGGUCUAUUGGCGCACGGGUGCGUAACGCGUGGGAACCUGCCCUUAGGUUCGGAAUAACUCCCCGAAAGGGGUGCUAAUACCGGAUAAUGUCUUCGGACCAAAGAUUUAUCGCCUUUGGAUGGGCCCGCGUUGGAUUAGCUAGUUGGUAGGGUAAAAGCCUACCAAGGCGACGAUCCAUAGCUGGUCUGAGAGGAUGAUCAGCCACACUGGGACUGAGACACGGCCCAGACUCCUACGGGAGGCAGCAGUGGGGAAUAUUGGACAAUGGGCGAUAGCCUGAUCCAGCAAUGCCGCGUGAGUGAUGAAGGCCUUAGGGUUGUAAAGCUCUUUUACCCGGGAUGAUAAUGACAGUACCGGGAGAAUAAGCUCCGGCUAACUCCGUG